CCUGAGUAGAGUGGCGCACGGGUGAGUAAUGCAUCGGAACGUGUCCUGUAGCGGGGGAUAACCUAGCGAAAGCUAGGCUAAUACCGCAUACGCCCUAAGGGGGAAAGUGGGGGAUCGUAAGACCUCACACUAUAGGAGCGGCCGAUGCCGGAUUAGCUAGUUGGUGGGGUAAAGGCUUACCAAGGCGACGAUCUAUAGCUGUUCUGAGAGGAAGAUCAGCCACACUGGGACUGAGACACGGCCCAGACUCC
This 251-nucleotide ribosomal RNA is filed under the name uncultured bacterium. RNAcentral describes it as "partial 16S ribosomal RNA". It matches the Rfam family "Bacterial small subunit ribosomal RNA", at positions 85 to 339 of the family's 1533-position model. The record is from RNAcentral.